ACGGAAGGCAGCAGUGAGGAAUAUUGGUCAAUGGACGAGAGUCUGAACCAGCCAAGUAGCGUGCAGGAUGACGGCCCUAUGGGUUGUAAACUGCUUUUGUACGGGAAUAAAGUGACCUACGUGUAGGUUUUUGCAUGUACCGUAAGAAUAAGGACCGGCUAAUUCCGUGCCAGCAGCCGCGGUAAUACGGAAGGUCCGGGCGUUAUCCGGAUUUAUUGGGUUUAAAGGGAGCGUAGGCCGUGCUUUAAGCGUGUUGUGAAAUGUAGGCGUCCAACGUCUGCACUGCAGCGCGAACUGGAGCACUUGAGUACGUAAGAGGCGGGCGGAAUUCGUCGUGUAGCGGUGAAAUGCUUAGAUAUGACGAAGAACUCCGAUUGCGAAGGCAGCUCGCUGGGCCGCAACUGACGCUGAAGCUCGAAGGUGCGGGUAUCAAACAGGAUUAGAUACCCUGGUA
RNAcentral lists this ribosomal RNA (454 nucleotides) under uncultured Prevotella sp. RNAcentral's name for it is "bacterial SSU rRNA". It matches the Rfam family "Bacterial small subunit ribosomal RNA", at positions 341 to 792 of the family's 1533-position model. Lineage: Bacteria; Pseudomonadati; Bacteroidota; Bacteroidia; Bacteroidales; Prevotellaceae. The record is from RNAcentral.